RNAcentral lists this ribosomal RNA (468 nucleotides) under uncultured bacterium. Its description in RNAcentral is "partial 16S ribosomal RNA". It matches the Rfam family "Bacterial small subunit ribosomal RNA", at positions 28 to 507 of the family's 1533-position model. The record is from RNAcentral.
GACGAACGCUGGCGGCGUGCUUAACACAUGCAAGUCGAACGGAAAGGCCCUGCUUUUGUGGGGUGCUCGAGUGGCGAACGGGUGAGUAACACGUGAGUAACCUGCCCUUGACUUUGGGAUAACUUCAGGAAACUGGGGCUAAUACCGGAUAGGAGCUCCUGCUGCAUGGUGGGGGUUGGAAAGUUUCGGCGGUUGGGGAUGGACUCGCGGCUUAUCAGCUUGUUGGUGGGGUAGUGGCUUACCAAGGCUUUGACGGGUAGCCGGCCUGAGAGGGUGACCGGCCACAUUGGGACUGAGAUACGGCCCAGACUCCUACGGGAGGCAGCAGUGGGGAAUGUUGCACAAUGGGCGGAAGCCUGAUGCAGCAACGCCGCGUGCGGGAUGACGGCCUUCGGGUUGUAAACCGCUUUCGCCUGUGACGAAGCGUGAGUAACGGUAAUGGGUAAAGAAGCACCGGCUAACUACGUG